ACUCAAAGGAAUAGACGGGGGCCCGCACAAGCGGCGGAGCAUGCGGAUUAAUUCGAUGCGACGCGAAGAACCUUACCUGGGUUUGACAUCGCCCGGAAACUGCCAGAGAUGGUGGCCUCUUCGGAUCGGGUGACAGGUGGUGCAUGGCUGUCGUCAGCUCGUGUCGUGAGAUGUUGGGUUAAGUCCCGCAACGAGCGCAACCCUCGUUCCAUGUUGCCAGCGGGUUAUGCCGGGGACUCAUGGGAGACUGCCGGGGUCAACUCGGAGGAAGGUGGGGAUGACGUCAAGUCAUCAUGCCCCUUAUGUCCAGGGCUUCACGCAUGCUACAAUGGCCGGUACAAUGGGUUGCGAUACCGUGAGGUGGAGCGAAUCCCAAAAAGCCGGUCUCAGUUCGGAUCGGGGUCUGCAACUCGGCCCCGUGAAGUCGGAGUCGCUAGUAAUCGCAGAUCAGCAACGCUGCGGUGAAUACGUUCCCGGGCCUUGCACACACCGCCCGU
This 497-nucleotide ribosomal RNA is filed under the name uncultured bacterium. Its description in RNAcentral is "partial 16S ribosomal RNA". It matches the Rfam family "Bacterial small subunit ribosomal RNA", at positions 899 to 1397 of the family's 1533-position model. The record is from RNAcentral.